AUGCACCUGGACCUAGGUGUGGCCCCAGCAGCGUUUUCUGCAGGCCUACCCAUGGUAGAAAUUAACAUAUCAAGUUCCCUGUCCCAGCCUGUGCUGACCCAGCCAACGUCUCUCUCUGCAUCUGUGGGAGCAACAGCCACACUCAUCUGUACCCUGAGCAGGGACAUAAGUGUCAGUGGGAAAAACAUGUACUGGUAUCAGCAGAAGCCUGGAAGCCCUCCCCAGUUUUUCCCGUACUACUACUCAGACUCAGACAAGCAGCCGGGACCUGGGGUUCCCAGUCGAGUCUCUGGAUCCAAGGAUACCCCCACAAACACAGCAAUUUUGUUCAUCUCUGGGCUCCAGCCUGAGGACGAGGCUGAUUAUUACUGUCAGGUAUAUACCAGUGUUGCUCAGCACAGUGAUAGACACAGAUGA
This is a non-coding RNA of Mustela erminea (ermine), 417 nucleotides long. NCBI's taxonomy places the organism in Eukaryota, Metazoa, Chordata, Mammalia, Carnivora, Mustelidae. The record is from the annotation of a RefSeq genome assembly.